This 411-nucleotide long non-coding RNA is filed under the name Gossypium barbadense (sea-island cotton). Its description in RNAcentral is "long non-coding RNA (GBAR_LNC016602)". Lineage: Eukaryota; Viridiplantae; Streptophyta; Magnoliopsida; Malvales; Malvaceae. The record is from RNAcentral.
UUCUUUAUGUUACUAACUAACAAUGGAGUUGCAGAUAUCCUUAUUCCAGGUCCUCAUCACCUUCUUCCUGGUUUUGUUUAUGGCAGCAAUCACUAGUAUGAGGAAAUCUAAAGCUAGGAAUUUAACUCAAGGGUUGAUUCCAGGGCCACGGAAAUUACCUUUGAUCGGAAAUCUGCACCAGCUCGCCGGUCCUGGUUUACCCCAUCACACCCUACGUGACUUGGCUACGAAAUAUGGCGCCAUCAUGCACCUGCAACUCGGUCAAAUUUCCACUGUCGUCGUUUCUUCUGCAGAAAUGGCUAAAGAGAUUAUGAAAACCCAUGAUAUUGUCUUUGCUAAUAGGCCUGUUCUCGCUUCGGCUAAGAUUAUAACUUACGGGUGCACUGAUAUUGUCUUUUCACCAUAUGGAAA